Quercus lobata is the source of this 4377-nucleotide long non-coding RNA. RefSeq lists it as uncharacterized. NCBI's taxonomy places the organism in Eukaryota, Viridiplantae, Streptophyta, Magnoliopsida, Fagales, Fagaceae. The transcript has 12 exons. The record is from RefSeq and is a predicted model, not a curated record.
UCCAUAUGUGUUCAUAUGUCACCAAGACAAUGUGUAGAGUUAGAUUGAGUAGUCAGAUCAUAGAAUUAUGGUUUGACACUCUUUGACAUGAAAGUCAUUCUGUGCAUCAGGUAUUAUUAUAGCUUAACCUGAACAAAUGUCCUUUGCUUUCACUCUUUUAAUUGCUCAUGUAUAUAUUAAACUAAUUGCUAGGAGCAUGGGAUGUUAAAAAACUAACAACAAUGGACACUAGGGACAGCAUAUCUAUUGUGUUCAGCCAGAGGAAAAAUUAAUUUACUUAUGGAGUUUUAAUCUAGCCACAAGCUAAUGGAAGCUUAUAAGAUUUGUCAAAUGCAAUUGAGACAAUAUGCCUAUUGUUUCCAGCUGGUGGAACAAUUGAUUAUAAUUGCAAGCUGAUGAGCAGAGGAGGAAUGUAUAUACUUACUAUUGAGAGAGCAAUCUUCAAGGACAGGAAGCUGGGGUUGGGCUGAUAAUCAGAGUUGCACGGGGACUACUUAUAGCUGUGAUGAGUAAGAGAAUUUUGUGUAUGAAUCCAACGAAAUCGAGGUGAUUGUUGCUGACUGCUGACAGAGUGCUGAGUUUUGCAGACUAUCAAAUAUAUGAAGGUACAUAUGAUCUGUUUGCGUCUGGGAAAAUAAUCAACUUGAUUCAACUGAUGGCAAGGCACGGGGUACAACAUAUCUAUUGUGUUUAGCUGGAGGAAAAAUUUAUUCAUGGAGCUUUAAUACACUGCUAAGAAAACGGAAGAGAAGAAUAUCCGUCACUGCCCCAAAUUAAAGGAAAUAUGUGCCAAGGGGAGCGGUGCAGAGUGGGUGGUCUAGGAUUUCCCUCCCACAUUCCAAAUAUCAUUUUUUGUUGAAUUUAUCAAAGAAGAAGCAGUUUGAAGAUCGUAUACAUUUUUAAGAUGGAUGACCGGAUACUUCACACACCACCCAUUUUGGAGCCUAAUCUUCUUUUGGCUGUCAGAGCUGUUUGGCCAGCUUUGACACCUAUAUGUGCUUAGUUGGAGGCAUUAAAUUCUGACGAUGUUGGAGCCUCUGCAUAUGUUCUGUGGUAACUUUUCGUCUUUGUAAGAACUGAAGUUCUGGAACAAGAACUGCUACUACCUACCAACAAUGCAGGAGGUGCUCUCACUUUCUAUGGAAAGCUAAAUGGAAGAUUCCUGGAGUGGUUGUCAAAGCUGGAUGCUUUGUUUCUUACUGUUUGCUAGAGUUCCAUUGGUAGAAGAUUGGUCAUAUUCCAAGAAUCACAGUGGGGAAAUUUAAAUUGGUUCCAAUGCAAUUGACUUAGUGAAAUUUGUACUGGCAUAUCUGAUGUGUUCAGCUGGAGGAAACAUUUAUUCAUGGAGCUUUUAACCCACCCUGAAUCCAACCGAAGAGCUAAAUAUCCUUUCAUUGCUCCAAAUUAAUUGAAAGAUGUGUGCAAAAGCAUGUGGUGCAGAGUGGUCUAGGAUUUCCCACAUUCCAAAUAUCUAUUUUAAUGAAUGUAUUAAACAAGAAGCUGUCUGAAGAUCAUGUACAUUAUUAAGAUGGAUGACCAUAAGUGGAAUGCCACCUAUUGCUCUUACAUGAUCUGCACAUUUGCAAGAAGCCGCAAUAUCUACUUAUGGUGUAAUUGGGUCAUUGCAAUAUCUACUUAUGGUGUAAGUGGCUUAUUGCGUUACUAAAUUACAAAUACCUAUGAUCUUUCAUUGUCCCAAUUAGAGGCCAUGUAGUUUAGCACAAAAGGUUCUAAGAUUGCCCAUGUUCCUGUGAUUAAGAAAAACCUUUGAUACAUUCGACAUUCCUAUUCUAAGCUUGAAGCCAUUUAUAAUUUCUAUGUUCUCUCCUGUUUGCUGUGAAGUUGACUCACUGUUCAUGAUUUGUUCUAUAUAUAUAUAUUACCAUAUUCUUGGGUUAACGAUGUCCAAAUAGUUUUAUGUCAAACCAUUAAUUCAUACUUAUGUAACAUAUAUUUAUUGCAUAAUUUUUGUGUAUCUUCAAUUUUUAGCUCUAUUUCAUUGUAAUUAUUCCUCGAUGGUUGGAUAUCUUUUAGCACAUCAAAUAUUUUUUAGAAAUUAAGAGCCCCUUAUGUUUUCAUAUUCUUUAUUAAUAUUUAACUGUGAUUUCUGUAAGCCAUAGUUUGCAGCACUUGACAAUUCUUUUGAUGUAACUACCACCAGUAAUUAUUGCGUGGGAGUCCUACACUCAACUCUCUCCCGAACGAAAUUCAACUCUUCACUGCCCUUGAAGAGCCGUGGAUAAAGAAAUUUAACAGAAUGAAAGCUUUGCCUAAUUGGUUGGGCAAUCUUUCUUCCCUUCAAAAGCUGUCUCUUCGCUACUGCAACAACCUGAUGUAUCUUCCCAUGUUCCACCUCACCAAAUCAAAACACCUGCACGUUGCUGAUUGCUCCAACUUAGAGAAAAGAUUUGCAGAGGGAAGUGGCGAAGAGUGGUUCCAGAUUUCCCAUAUUCCAAACAUCAAAAUCAAUGGAAAAUACAUCCAAGGGAAGGAUUCUGAGGACUCUAAAUACUUUGACAUCUUUGACGACUCUGACUGAAGAAUUUGACGACUUCGAUGACUAUGAAGAUGAUAGAGAUGAUUAGUAAGUCCUUUGCAGAGGAGCUGUGGUCAAUUUUCAUCAUCUAUUCCAGAACAAGAACUGCUACUACUUAUCAGCAAUGCAGGAGGUGCUCCCUUUCUGUGGAAAGCUAGAUGGAAGUAUCCUAGAAUGGCUGUUGAAGCCAGAUGUUUACUGGUCGCUUUGCAAGAGAUAUGGAAUCAGCAAGGGUGGUCGUUAGUAGAAGAUUGUUCAUAGUACAAGAAUCACAAUGGAGGGAAUUUAAAUGGAUUCCAAUGAAAUUGUUUCAUCGAAAUUGAUGCUUCACAAUUGUUUGGGGCUGGGGUAACUUUUUAUCUCUUCAAGAAUAGAAGUUCAGGAGCAAGAGUGCUACUACCUACCAGCAAAGCAGGUGGCACAAUCACUUUCCAUGGAAAGCUAAAUGAAGAAUUGAAGUUUGAAUUGGUUUCAAAUUUCCAAUCUAAUUGUUUCAUUGAAAUUUACUUUGGUCAUCCUUCAUAUCCCAAUUAGUAUUCAUGCACUUCAGCACAGAGUGGUCCUAGAUUCACCCUAUUCCAAAUAUCCUGGAGAUAAAAGGAGCAACAAAACCAAGAUAUAUUUGAAGGCAUAAAUACACUAUGAAAAUGGCUCUACUUGACUGCAUGCAAAGAAAUUGUGACAAACUAAAAGUCCUAUCAACCCCUCUUUGAAGCUUUUCCAAGGUUCAAAGUGGUUGCCUACCUCCUCAUCUACUACAUUUGGAAAGGAUCUUGACCUAGAAGGAAUGUGUUCAUCAUUACAAGAAAUGAGUUCCCACCAAAUUGAAGAAGGCCAAGAAUUUGAGACAUACUCUCAGCAUGAAGAAACGUAAUCAGGAUGUUAGCACCACACCUUCUUGGGUUGUCGAGUUGGAUGAUGAUGAAGAUGAAGAAGAUCCUGAAUUCUAUGGAGCCCCAGCAUUUGAAUCAAGGCUGACUCCUGAGGGGUACAAGGAAACCACUAGACAUAAUCCAAGAGCAAUGCAUAAGAAUUUCAGGAAGCAUGUUUUGGAAAGCACCGUCAGUCUUACCAUUAAAAAUAAAAAUAGAUGCCUACAAGUCUUAAAAGGACAUUAACUGAAACUGUAACUGAAAAUUUGGCAUCAGCUUUCGUUGCUGUGGUAUCAGAAAUUCAAAGUGCUUUCCACAAAUUUAUUGUCUCUGUUGCUACUGAAAGAGGAAAACAAGAUAAUAGGGGUGAGCAAAUUUGGAUAUAAGGUUGUUUCAGUGAAGGAGUAUCUAAUGCAUAAACUUGAGCCCAGGGAAGAUGUGCUUUCUCCAAUAAUAUCCAAGGCAAUGAGUCCAAAGAGAGCUCUUGGUGAUAUGGGUGCGGUAUGAGGGAUGUUGUGACUUGCUCCAACAUGAAGAAUUGUCCAAAUACACAACUAUGAGUUCAAUUAGAAACCGAACAUUGCCCAUGCCAAUUUCCACCAAUUUGCAUAUAGCUAACACUCAGAUCUCAGCCAAUGCUCAUAAUUUUUUUUUUUUUUUUUUGGUGUCAAUUUUGAUCUUGAAUGUAUAUGGAGACAUCUUAACGAGCUUCAAUUAGUUUUUCACUCCAAUGUACCAAUACUAAAAACCAUCACCAUUAGAAAUGCAUGUUCUGAUGCUAAUUAUUCUUUUGAAGUUCCAUUGUACAGUCUUUUGUAACCAUCGGAUGCAUUUGACAAAUGGUAUGAAAUCACUUGGUCAAAUUUAUGUCAAUAUUAGUUAUCUGAACAAGGCCCUGACCAUGUUAUGGAUUCCAUGUGCUAUGGUGUAAUUUCUCUUUAUGGUAUAUUAUAAUUCAUAUCUCAUGUA